GCCGGGAUAGCCUAGUGGACAAGGCGCAGGCCUUGAGAGCCUGUGGGGAUUUUUCCCCUCGUGGGUUCGAAUCCCACUCCCGGCG
RNAcentral lists this transfer RNA (85 nucleotides) under Thermoproteota archaeon. RNAcentral's name for it is "tRNA-Ser". It matches the Rfam family "tRNA". Rfam says of the family: Transfer RNA (tRNA) molecules are approximately 80 nucleotides in length. The record is from RNAcentral. Lineage: Archaea; Thermoproteati; Thermoproteota.